RNAcentral lists this ribosomal RNA (167 nucleotides) under Hyaloscypha sp. RNAcentral describes it as "partial large subunit ribosomal RNA". It matches the Rfam family "Eukaryotic large subunit ribosomal RNA", at positions 100 to 261 of the family's 3401-position model. Lineage: Eukaryota; Fungi; Ascomycota; Leotiomycetes; Helotiales; Hyaloscyphaceae. The record is from RNAcentral.
GGGAAAAGCUCAAAUUUAAAAUCUGGCAGUUUUUAAUUGUCCGAGUUGUAAUUUGUAGAAGAUGCUUUGGGUGUGGCUCCGGUCUAAGUUCCUUGGAACAGGACGUCAUAGAGGGUGAGAAUCCCGUACGUGACUGGGUGCCUUCGCUCGUGUAAAGCUCUUUCGAC